Molecule: ribosomal RNA, 464 nt
Filed under: uncultured bacterium
Lineage: Bacteria
Description: bacterial SSU rRNA
Rfam family: Bacterial small subunit ribosomal RNA
Source: RNAcentral
CCCAGACUCCUACGGGAGGCAGCAGUGAGGAAUAUUGGUCAAUGGUCGGGAGACUGAACCAGCCAAGCCGCGUGAGGGAUGAAGGUACAGAGUAUCGUAAACCUCUUUUGUCAGGGAACAAAGGCGGGGACGUGUCCCCGGAUGAGUGUACCUGAAGAAAAAGCAUCGGCUAACUCCGUGCCAGCAGCCGCGGUAAUACGGAGGAUGCGAGCGUUAUCCGGAUUUAUUGGGUUUAAAGGGUGCGCAGGCGGGCUGUUAAGCCGGCGGUAAAAAUUCAGGGCUCAACCCUGUCGAGCCGUCGGAACUGGCAGUCUUGAGUGGGCGAGAAGUAUGCGGAAUGCGUGGUGUAGCGGUGAAAUGCAUAGAUAUCACGCAGAACGCCGAUUGCGAAGGCAGCAUACCGGCGCCCAACUGACGCUGAGGCACGAAAGCGUGGGGAUCGAACAGGAUUAGAUACCCCAGUA